AGAUCACCCAGCAGCUGGGGCUAGAGGUGGCUGUGGCCACCAUGUCCCUGAGACUGCUCACAUACCAGCGGGCCCAUGAACACUUCCAGACCUACGGUGCCCCCUCCACGGUGCCGCCCUGAGUGGGGAGCACCAGGGUUGUGCCCUGGAGCCCAUCCCCCGCAGAUGCUGGGCAUGCAUUGGCUCAGUCCACUUUGCUUCCUGGCUGGCCCAGCCUAAUAAAGUGUUGCCAUCUCACCAGUCCCUUAAAAAAAAAAAAUAAAUACGAUGAAGUGGGGAGUCCAGAAGGGAGCCUGCUCAAGCCGUUACACUCAAGGUCAAUUGCUGACCCAGUAAGAAAAGGUGCCUUUGUGUCUUCAACAGGAAACAGGCUAUUACUUCACAACCCAGCUGGGGGAUGAAUUUCUCCUCCCCAGGCAACAACCUAGUCAAUGAGAGACUGAAAAUCAGCCGAGGAACUCAAGCUCGGAACAAGGAGCGAUCAGAAGACAGGAUCAGAGAGGCCCUUGAGCAGUGCCUAGCACUUGAUUUCCAGGCCGGCAUUCUUUCUACCAGCUGUAGUUUUUGAAAAGGGGUUAGUCUCUCAUCUCGAGAGGUCCCUGAAUCAGACAGAAAGAAACUAUCACUUCCCGGGAACCCAUUGAUUUACAGUGAACCUCGUGUGGGGACUUCACAGUGGCUGAAAAGGCAAGGAGAAGAUGGAGACCCGCUCACAACACAAGGCAAAAAAGUCUGGAGCGACAGCUGCCACCUAAGGAAUCCCGAGAAGUUGCUGAUUGCUCCCGGCUUCAGUUCUUUCUGCGCUUCAGUCCCGGUGCCGCCUCCUCUGAAGCCUGGUGGGUUCUGCCCGAGGCCAGUGCCAGGGCCCCAGCGUUGAAAGAGCCCGAAGCAGGAAGGCGGAGGAGUCGCGCCGCCCAGCGGAGAACCCGCCAAAGCACAGACUCUUAGUCACCAUCAUGAAUAUUGGUCAUCACUCCUUGGCACAUUGGACUGUACAGGUGGCUCCACCGAGAUGGCCUUCCAACCACUGUCUGCGAUGGGGCAAUUCUGUGCUGCGCUUGUGAAAGGAGGAAAAAUGGCUUCAAUUAGAGAACACGAGGAACGAGCACAUCAUUAACUGAAGGA
Molecule: long non-coding RNA, 1125 nt
Organism: Bos taurus (domestic cattle)
Lineage: Eukaryota; Metazoa; Chordata; Mammalia; Artiodactyla; Bovidae
Source: Ensembl